GACGAACGCUGGCGGCGUGCUUAACACAUGCAAGUCGAACGGUGAACCUCUUCGUUGGGGGUGAGUGCCAAUGGCGAACGUAACACUAAGACAUCCGUCCCCCGCCUCUGGGAUAACUCCAAGAACUGGAGGCUAAUACCGGAUGUUCACCGCUUCCCGCAUGGCAGGUGGUGGAAAGGGUUUCCGGCUGGGGAUGGGCUCGCGGCCUAUCAGCUUGUUGGUGGGGUAGUGGCUUACCAAGGCGACGACGGGUAGCCGGCCUGAGAGGGUGACCGGCCACACUGGGACUGAGACACGGCCCAGACUCCUACGGGAGGCAGCAGUGGGGAAUAUUGCGCAAUGGGCGGAAGCCUGACGCAGCGACGCCGCGUGGGGGAUGACGGCCUUCGGGUUGUAAACCUCUUUCACCAGGGACGAAGCGCGAGUGACGGUAACGGGAGAAGAAGCACCGGCCAACUACGUG
RNAcentral lists this ribosomal RNA (463 nucleotides) under uncultured bacterium. Its description in RNAcentral is "partial 16S ribosomal RNA". It matches the Rfam family "Bacterial small subunit ribosomal RNA", at positions 28 to 507 of the family's 1533-position model. The record is from RNAcentral.